GCUGGGUGUGUUGGCACACACCUGUAAUCCUCAUGACUUGGGAGGCUAAGGCAAGAGGAUUGUGAGUUCAAGGCCUGCCUUGGCAAUUCAGCAAAGCCCUGGCAACUUAGUGAGAUCCCAUCUUAA
RNAcentral lists this small RNA (126 nucleotides) under Marmota monax (woodchuck). Lineage: Eukaryota; Metazoa; Chordata; Mammalia; Rodentia; Sciuridae. The record is from RNAcentral.